Molecule: ribosomal RNA, 520 nt
Filed under: uncultured bacterium
Lineage: Bacteria
Description: bacterial SSU rRNA
Rfam family: Bacterial small subunit ribosomal RNA
Source: RNAcentral
GACCAGCGACGCCGCGUGCGGGAUGAAGGCCUUCGGGUUGUAAACCGCUUUCAGUAGGGAAGAAGCGAAAGUGACGGUACCUACAAAAAAAGCACCGGCUAACUAUGUGCCACCAGCCGCGGUAAUACAUAGGGUGCAAGCGUUGUCCGGAAUUAUUGGGCGUAAAGAGCUCGUAGGUCGUUUGUUACGUCGGAUGUGAAAACCUGAGGCUCAACCUCAGGCCUGCAUUCGAUACGGGCAAACUAGAGUUUGGUAGGGGAGACUGGAAUUCCUGGUGUAGCGGUGGAAUGCGCAGAUAUCAAGAGGAACACCAAUGGCGAAGGCAGGUCUCUGGGCCAAUACUGACACUGAGGAGCGAAAGUCUGGGGAGCGAACAGGAUUAGAUACCCUGGUAGUCCAGACCGUAAACGGUGGGCACUAGUUGUGGGAACCUUCCACGGUUUCUGCGACGCAACUAACGCAUUAAGUGCCCCGCCUGGGGAGUACGAUCGCAAGAUUAAAACUCAAAUGAAUUGACGGA